AAAUCGCGAAAUGUAUUGUGAAUUGCAGAAUUCAGUGAAUCAUCGAAUCUUUGAACGCACAUUGCACUCUUUGGUAUUCCGAAGAGUAUACAUGUUUGAGUAUCAAUAACCCCCUCUAUUAAAAUGAAGCAAUUCAUUGAAUAGGAUUUGAGUAUCCGUAUGACAUGUUGAUUCCUCUGUCAGAGCGGUUACUUUAAAUAAAUGAUGCGACCAGUACCACAUAGUGGAUUUGGCAACAUAGUAAUUGCGGAUUUCGAAAGAUUUCUAAUUUUAUUGUUUGUUAAUAUCAUUUAAGCUAAGUGUCUUGGUUUAUUGCAAAUACGAAUAUUUAAAGAAGAUUUCUUCUUUAACUAUUUUAUCUUGAUCUCAAAUCAUGUAGGACUACCCGCUGAACUUAA
Molecule: unclassified non-coding RNA, 398 nt
Filed under: uncultured fungus
Lineage: Eukaryota; Fungi
Description: sequence contains ITS1
Rfam family: 5.8S ribosomal RNA (bases 1-105)
Source: RNAcentral